Long non-coding RNA from Astatotilapia calliptera (eastern happy), 928 nucleotides. The record is from Ensembl. NCBI's taxonomy places the organism in Eukaryota, Metazoa, Chordata, Actinopteri, Cichliformes, Cichlidae.
GGAGAAUCUGGUGAGAAUCAGCUUAGUGUUUUUUUACAACGGGGAGAAGACGAUGAUACUUUCCAGCUUCAAAAGCUUCUUUAUUUAUUAUUAUUUGAGCUCCUUAUUCUACCCAAGCAAUGGUUUUGAGGUGAUCCAGCCACAGAAUAAGACUAAUAACCCAGAUACAGUUUUCAUCAGCUGUAACUUUACAGCAAACACUGGGACAAUUGUAGAUGUUCGACUCAACAAGGUUUUACCAGAGAAAAAGAUGCUCUGCCAGACUGAAUCUGAAGCCUGUCAUAACAUUAUCGUACUUAAAGACGCUCCAUUCAAGUACAUUUUCAUCUUACUCAAUGCUGGGCCAGAGGCAUGGACCUCAAAGUAUGAAUGUGAGUGGUCAGCAACAAAUAAGGAUGGGACGGACAAAACCGUGACAAGUGCAGCAAACAAAUUAAUUAAACUGCAACUACAAGGUCAACUGGGAACCACACCACAGUGUACUCCUCCCCCUUCACCUCCUCCCCCUCAGUCCCAUCAGCUCAUGUGGAUUUUGAUUGGUCUGCUGGCCCUGAUGUUUGUGUACAGCUGUAUCAUCACCUCCUUCUACAUGAGGCUUAUGAAGAGUUUUCCACUCGACGAUGCCGACCGGAGGAUUGUGACUUUGAUCCUUUGUCCCUCGAGCAUAAAGAUUUCUCCUGAUUCUUGGAAACUUUUACUGUUAUGUACUGUAGAAAGUUAUUCUAUUUUACAUUGAAGACCAUUGUUCUGGAAUUGUUUCACAAUUUGUAGACAGUUUUUUCAAAGUGAGUUAGCAGACAGUUAAUAAGAUACUGAAAGACAUCCAUAAAAACUGUCCUGCCUUUGUGCCGUGCCUGAACACCCAGUUUUAACAGCAGUAUUAUUAUUAAAUACAUUUAACAGAAUAAAGCUAUCAAAAGAAUGAGGC